AUAACUUAAUCGGCCUAAACCCACUGUAAAGCCACUUCAAACCCACGUGGGUUAGUGGUGGUCGAUCCAGUCGAUAAGGCAGUGGUCUAAUCUUGUUACGCGCAAUAUUCCCGCUUGGCAAAGAGUAACUCAUUUUGAUGCCUCUCGCUACCCCUGGCCUUAGUUUUAAAGGAAUCAUGCGACACACUCGCACUCCACUACCCCAUCCCAUGGAAAAACGCUCCCACCAUCGAGGUGUUGACCAAAAUUUCGCUAUGUGCAUGAGACACACACUCGCACUCCUCCAGCCCUCCACAGCUAAACGCUCCCACCGUUGCGAAGUUUGCGAGAAUUUUUGCUCUGAGCGUGAGAUCCUGAAGCACCAGAGAUGACACUAUGUGUAAAGACGAUCAUAAUUCGGUAUGGUCAAAAUGCGUCGAUUGUCGUUUCAUUUAUCUGGUAAUGAUGCAUUCACUUCAUCAAAAUUUUAAACGUUCACAACUAGACUGAUAACAAUAUUUGAAUUUUUAAUCAGAAUAAAACCAAUUCAUUUGAAGCAAAAUAAAUUCCAUUAUACUUUAUUUUGACCAUAUGAUCAACACUUGUACAUAGUGCCAUUUACUUUGUGUUCUUCACUCUCGCGCUGUGUUUUGAUCGUUCGAAACUCAUUGCCAGAACGAAUGCAAAUUUCAUACGGGAAUGAUCGGUGCCGGAAGAGGCAGCGAAAAUUAUGAAAUGAUAAUAGAAAAGUGGUUAAGUUAAUCGUGAAAGAUGUCAACGCAGACGUAAAUGUAGUAUGUUUUGUUACAUGAUCUACGGCUAUUUCAUUACCAAAGCUCCUGAUAACAGAUCAAAGCAGAUGGAUCGGGCAUACAGAGUCGCCGUUUAAUUUAAAAUAUCUGCGUGAUCGCAAACGCAUCAAACAGCAAGUGUUUUUCCUUCCAACAGCACGCACCAUCGGUGGUGCAGCAGCUAACGUUUUGUUCGCCUAGCGCGCACCAUCAAGAAUUGAUAUUUUGCCAAACAGUACUGUGAAUAAAAAACUGCACACUUACUGUACGAA
Anopheles gambiae (African malaria mosquito) is the source of this 1042-nucleotide long non-coding RNA. RefSeq lists it as uncharacterized. The transcript is spliced from 3 exons. The record is from RefSeq and is a predicted model, not a curated record. NCBI's taxonomy places the organism in Eukaryota, Metazoa, Arthropoda, Insecta, Diptera, Culicidae.